This 67-nucleotide transfer RNA is filed under the name Encyrtus rhodococcusiae. RNAcentral describes it as "tRNA-Ser". RNAcentral also lists the same sequence under 1 other name. The record is from RNAcentral. Lineage: Eukaryota; Metazoa; Arthropoda; Insecta; Hymenoptera; Encyrtidae.
AAUUAUUAAGCUUUCUAAGCUUUAUGUUUUGAAUACAUAAAAAAGAAAUUAAAUUUUCUAAUAAUUU